RNAcentral lists this ribosomal RNA (124 nucleotides) under Providencia rettgeri. RNAcentral describes it as "partial 16S ribosomal RNA". It matches the Rfam family "Bacterial small subunit ribosomal RNA", at positions 1 to 119 of the family's 1533-position model. Lineage: Bacteria; Pseudomonadati; Pseudomonadota; Gammaproteobacteria; Enterobacterales; Morganellaceae. The record is from RNAcentral.
UAAUUGAAGAGUUUGAUCAUGGCUCAGAUUGAACGCUGGCGGCAGGCCUAACACAUGCAAGUCGAGCGGUAACAGGGGAAGCUUGCUUCCCGCUGACGAGCGGCGGACGGGUGAGUAAUGUAUG